This 199-nucleotide long non-coding RNA is filed under the name Elaeis guineensis (African oil palm). Its description in RNAcentral is "long non-coding RNA (EGUI_LNC016672)". Lineage: Eukaryota; Viridiplantae; Streptophyta; Magnoliopsida; Arecales; Arecaceae. The record is from RNAcentral.
AUGGGUGGUGUACUUAGAUCCACAUACUUGCGAACAACCAUCAUUAAAAAAAGGUAGGCCCAAACUUGGCGCACUGGUCGGCCCAUCUUGAUGGCCACCUCCCAACUCAAAAUUUUUCACUUAGAAGCUCCUCCACUUGGAGGAGGGGUGUGACCACUAGCUUAGCAUUGAUUUUAGUUUGAGAAUGCAUUGGGUUCAU